UACGGAGGGUGCAAGCGUUGUUCGGAUUUACUGGGCGUAAAGCGCGCGCAGGUGGAUGGACAAGUCGGAAGUGAAAUCUUGAGGCUCAACCUCGAGGCUGCUCCCGAAACUGUUCGUCUAGGGACUGGUAGAGGCUGGUAGAAUUCCCGGUGUAGCGGUGGAAUGCGUAGAGAUCGGGAGGAACACCAGUGGCGAAGGCGGCCAUCUGGAUCAACACUGACGCUGAGGCACGAAAGCGUGGGGAGCAAACAGG
Molecule: ribosomal RNA, 253 nt
Filed under: uncultured bacterium
Lineage: Bacteria
Description: partial 16S ribosomal RNA
Rfam family: Bacterial small subunit ribosomal RNA
Source: RNAcentral